GCGUGCGAUCAUACCAGUACUAAAUCACCAGAUCUCAUUAGAACUCCGUAGUUAAGGGUGCUUGGGCGAGAGUAGUAUUAAGAUGGGUGACCUUCCGGAAAGUCCUCGUAAUGCACCCC
Ribosomal RNA from Hibiscus syriacus, 119 nucleotides. Lineage: Eukaryota; Viridiplantae; Streptophyta; Magnoliopsida; Malvales; Malvaceae. The record is from RefSeq and is a predicted model, not a curated record.